Molecule: long non-coding RNA, 1623 nt
Organism: Myotis brandtii (Brandt's bat)
Lineage: Eukaryota; Metazoa; Chordata; Mammalia; Chiroptera; Vespertilionidae
Exons: 2
Source: RefSeq, a predicted model, not a curated record
ACCACAUCCAGGCCAGCGACUGCCGCUCCCCUGUAGCGGGAGCGCCCGAGGAGGCAGCAACGCUCUUGCACCCAGUCACCAGGAGGACGACAUGACUGAUACAAAGUUGCUGCGACACAGCCUGGACUCGGCGGCUCCCUUAAAGCCGCACGGGCGACUGGGGUGCCGAGCAGCGGCUACGACACCAGGCAGCAGGCCCCCUGCGCACGCUGACCCCCGCCCCCUCGCUCAGCAGCCCUCAGCUUACUCGCGCCACCUGGCUCUCCUGCCCACCCUACGAUAUCGGAAAAGACAUGCAAAGUGUGGUGACGCGUCAAAGUCGGCUUUCCCGAGAGCCAGUCAAGGUGUAAUCCCCUCACGCUCUCCACCUGCAGCGCCAGGUGAAGGGCAGCCCUGGCCCAGACUCCACCCGCAGCGUCCGCGCGCAGGGGAGGACUCCCGCGGGGGCCGCACCGACCCCCGAGGUCCUCUCCACGCCCCUUUCCUGCGUUUCCGAGUUACCUCUCAGCAGAGCAGCCGCAGUGUCCGCUGCCAGCUUGCAAGAGGAUCACGUUCCCACUUGAUUUGAAUUUCCUUGUUUUAACCGUGCAGGAAAAGUGGGUGAUUUCAGCGUCGCCGAGCCUUUUAAACACAGCCUCUCACCCACUUCCUCACCCCCCCCCAACCAAAAAAAAAAAAAAAAAGUACCAGGGUCAGGAGCUGCUGCUCUCUCUCCUUAUAAUUUUGUUACUGUCCUUACUACUUCAGCGUUGGAUUUUUCCACUAGUUCAAUUAGAAAGAAAAGCCUUCGGUCGAGGAUAUUCACUUCUUUAUAAUGGGUGGCAGUGGUGCAUAUAACUGGGGGGGGGGGGCGGGGGGGACAUACAGAAGAGGGGGAAGGAACCGAACUCUUUUCUAAGGAUAGGGCAUCUGCAAGAAGAAAUGUCCGAUUCCCUCCAACCGCCCCUACCUCGACUCUCCUCACGCCCACCCAACCUCUGGGCUUCUUAACUUCGAUAUCUAAGGACGUUGAGGGUCCGCGUGUGCGGCCCGGUUUUAGGCUCCCAGCUGGCUCCAAAUCAGCACCAGUGACGUACACGCCUAAAUCUGGUACCCUGGCCCUCGGCGACCUGCCUGCAGCCGGGCGCCAGCAGCUGCUCAGCCUCCCGCCUCACCCUCGCCCCGCGCCCGCCUAAGUCGUGGGGAAGGCGUUCACCCUGUGCCCAAAGGCCCCUCUUCGCCUCGCAGUUAAUUAAGCUUCGGGAUUUCGGACCCUGAAAGCAAGAAGACUCAAACUUCCAGCCAUUGCAGGCAGGGAACUCCCUGCUAGAGGAGGCGACAGAGACGGCGCGGGAGAGCUGGUCCCCACGCCUCCUCAGGUGUUCGGCAUUCCCCUGCGCAGAGCGACCCCCGGUGCCCCAGGUGCCGGGAGUCCCGGCCAAGUGUCCCGACUUUCCCGAGGGGCCCGCCGUCACUCGCGCUCUCCCAGCCCGGCAGCAGUUGUGCGUCGAUCGCACUCGGGCGGAGCACAGGCGGCAGGCAGGAGCGAGGGGAGUCCCGGAGCUGGCGCCCGGGCACGCGAGGAGGCGGCAGCAGCUCAGCCUGCGCUGCCAAAUUAUUCAUUAUUAAAGGAAUGGACGUGCC